GUCUCUUCUUCUCUGUCAAGCUCAAGCAUCAUCGCACCCUUUCUUCUCUUCUUCUGUCACGCCGCGCUGAAGCAUCAUCGCACCCUUUCUUCUCUUCUUCUGUCACGCUGCGCUGAAGCAUCAUCGCACCCUUUCUGCUAUUUGAAAUCUGUAGACAAAACAACGCACAGACCAGUGAUGCCUGAAGUAGACUAGUUACGAUGCGAUCCCGAAGUGCCUCCACAAUAACAUCACAUAAUUGAUUUAGUUCCUGCAGCAGUUAAGUCAAACAGCCCCAAUCUCAGUAUCAAUCUAUAUGCAAGUUUGAAUAACUUAGUCGUCUAAUUAAACUUCUCAGCGUCACGGUUUGGUUGUCUUCUGUUCUCUCCCAAAUUCCACCCAAUUCGCAUUUGAACUUGCCGAAAAUCAACGACGAAGACUUCCUCUCUCGCCGGAAAAACUGACCCAGACCCAGAAGUAUAGAACUGUUUCUGGUGUUGCAGGGCCUCUGGUCAUUCUUGAUAAAGUCAAGGGUCCAAAGUUUAGAGUUUUAUACCUUGUCAAUUCUGCAACUUAGUUCACAGUGUUAUUAUUUAAUUGUGAAUUGGGUGCCGAGAACCUAUUCGGUGCAAAGUGUUUAUUUUGAUUUCUUUGAAGACGCUGACCAGGAUAAAGCAAAUUGGUUGUGACACGAGAUUUACCAGUAGAUUUCCAGAAGUAGGCACUUGUAUUCAAACGAGUAUUUGAA
Long non-coding RNA from Pistacia vera, 727 nucleotides. RefSeq lists it as uncharacterized. The record is from RefSeq and is a predicted model, not a curated record. The transcript has 4 exons. NCBI's taxonomy places the organism in Eukaryota, Viridiplantae, Streptophyta, Magnoliopsida, Sapindales, Anacardiaceae.